Non-coding RNA from Halomonas sp., 286 nucleotides. The record is from Rfam. NCBI's taxonomy places the organism in Bacteria, Pseudomonadati, Pseudomonadota, Gammaproteobacteria, Oceanospirillales, Halomonadaceae.
CUUCUUCCACCUGCUGGGGGCAGAUGAAGUGGAUAUGCGCGUCGAUGCCGCCUGCAGUGAGAACUUUGCCUUCGCCCGCAAUCACUUCGGUGCCGGGGCCAAUGACGAUCUCGACAUCGGGCUGGGUGUCGGGGUUGCCAGCUUUGCCGAUGGCGGCGAUGCGGCCGUUUUGCAGCCCCACAUCGGCUUUGACGAUGCCCCACCAGUCCAGAAUCAGCGCGUUGGUGAUCACGGUGUCCAUCACCGAGGCAUCCUGGCGCUGGCUUUGGCCCAUGCCAUCGCGGAU